AUUUCUAUCCUUUUUACGAUAGAUAGGGGCAAACUAUGAAAUAAAACAAAAAUCGAAAUACAAAUUAAAAAACUCAAUAAAAAAAACUCUUGAAUUGUGUCUUUUUUUUAACUAGCAAAAUAUGUUGGUAGAAAAUUGGAUUUCGAAGCUUCUUAUCAAGUGUAAGAAAACACUUUUAUUUAUAAUUAAUUCUUAGAAGUUUUUAUCGUUUGAGCAUUUGAGAGUCUCUUGCUUGUAUGCUUGAACAUUUAUAAUCAGUUGUGAUUAUAGUGAAAAUUCCUUGAAAAUUCAAGGGCAUUAGACUACUUGUGGAUUGUAAAAAGAACCAGCAAAAUUAUUUUGCUCGUGUGUACCAUAUUAAGGCAGACAAUUUUGUAUUAGCGUUUAAAACUUUUUUUUAUCCCCAAAAAAACAUAUUUUACAUAUAUCAUAAACAUUUCCUAAAUAUAGAAAGCAUUUGAGCGGUGAGAAACAUUUUGCUAGGAACAAGUGGAUUGAAAUAACCAUGACCUCUACUUAUGAUAAGAUAAAUUUUGUAAGAAAGAAAAAAGAAAGAAUAUAAGAGAAUAAUUUAUUCUUUAAUGCAUGAUUUGUUAGACAUGACAACAAAACUCAUACAUGCGGGUAUCCGUCCGAACCAAACAUAAAUUGACAAGUUUUCCCCGUUUGACUGAGUUUGGAUAUGAGUUUGAGUUUUCCUCGAUUUUAAAACAUGGGUAUGGGACGGAUAACAGGGAUAUAAGUACCCACCCCGAACCCAUACAAAAACCCGUUCCGAAUGUAUAAAUCAAUUUAUUAUCCAUUUUAUAUAAAUAGAAACUCAAACCCUAAAUCGUUCCUCUCACACAAUCAUAGUCUCAAUUUCUCAGAUGACACUCACUUCUCAAAGUUUUUAUCUCUUCUCGUUCCAUACUCUUACUCUCGGUCUUUCUCUUCCCUGUCACCAUAGCCAUCAAUUGUCAUAAUCUCUUUGUAGGAUAAUGAAUAAACAAUAUUUCUUUUUUUAUUAAAAAAUAUUGUCCACUACAGAGAGGGGGAUGGGGCGAGGAUACCUGAACCAGUCGGGGAUGGGAUGAGAUUCGAUUUCUCAUCCCUGUUAAAUAUGGGUAGGGUAGCUAGUAAGUAUAUGAGAGUAGGGUAUAGGGAUGGAGAAGGUAAAACUUGUCCCCACCCUGCCCAUUGUAAUGCCUAGGCUUUAUGUAGUAAUGUUUUAAGUAAUUUUAGGCUAUUUUGAUGCUGAAAAGGAUAGGAAAAUCAAUUACCAAGGAAUUUAGCAUCGUGCCUCAAUUCUAAAGCAUAAAUCAACAUUUCAAUUCACAUAAUUUUGUGGCGGGAGAGAAGUGCAUCAUGAAACGAUUUGAAGGAGUGUCAAAAUAAAAUUUGAAUUCUGAAACUAAUCGUGACACAAUAUUGCUACAUUGUGGCACAAUGUUACAUUGAUGUUUCCUAACAUAAAAGACAAGUGAAGUAUCACGCCACGAUCUAUGAGUAUCAUGACACAAUUUAUAAAUGUAACUUUAGAUUGGUACGGUUCGGUUUUGAAAUUAAACUAAACAAGGUCUAAUACGUUUUCCAUUUGGUUCAGUUGAAUUUUUUGUUUCGUCAAUUUUGCUUAAACCAUUUACACCCCUAAUAGGAGGAGUUAUCAUAACAUGAAUGUCAAUUUUUUUAAAGAGAAGCAAAAAUUAUUAUCAUAUAAAAAAUGCUAACAUUGUAGCCAUAAGUGCCAUAACAAUGUUUUAUUUCUCAAAAUUGUGUUUACCACCAUACUUUUUACCUAUACUCUUGAUAGUGUGAUAAGUCGUAAUUUAGAUGGUUUUUAAGUGUUUAUUUUAAUAGAAUUCUGUUUGUUUAAAAAAAAAAUUAGAACUAUUUUACUGCAAAUUUGUUCGUUUUAUUUUCAGAAUCACAAAUGAUAGAUGAUCAAGUCUUUGAGCAAAAGAAUGGAUUAAGAUGCAUGAUUGAAGCUUGUUUGAGAAGAAAGCUAAAAAGAGGAAAUUUUGCGCGAUCCCAACCUCCAAAAUGUUGCUGAUUUGGUGCACAAUUAUGUGCUGAUUUGGUCCAUAUUUUUGUGCUGAUUUGGUGCAUAUUUAUGUGCUGAUUUAGUGCAAAUUUAUGUUUGGAUUUGGGCCGUUUUUAUGACCAUUUUAGUGCCUUAUAAUGUGGAACUAUUUCCUUUUCUAGAGGAUGGCUUUUGCUAUUUAUAUAGAGAGAGCAAUCAGACUUCUAAAUCAUCUUUAAAUCUUGGAAUAUUUGUGACAGUUGUUUUUCAUUGAAUCAAAUUGAUCAAAGCUUUAUUUUCUUGUUCUUUAA
Molecule: long non-coding RNA, 2313 nt
Filed under: Medicago truncatula (barrel medic)
Lineage: Eukaryota; Viridiplantae; Streptophyta; Magnoliopsida; Fabales; Fabaceae
Description: long non-coding RNA (MTRU_LNC001447)
Source: RNAcentral